RNAcentral lists this long non-coding RNA (893 nucleotides) under Physcomitrium patens. RNAcentral's name for it is "long non-coding RNA (PPAT_LNC005739)". Lineage: Eukaryota; Viridiplantae; Streptophyta; Bryopsida; Funariales; Funariaceae. The record is from RNAcentral.
CCGAGUAUAUUGCAUUUGGAAACAAUUACAGUACUUACGAUGGGAAGCAACAUCUAGCAUGAACCUCAACAGAUCAUGAGAGAACUGCAGAGGUUUAGGGUUGUAAGACUUUGAGAUAUGUCCAUUUAGAGUUCCUAAUUAUCCAUGUGAUGUGUUGCGGAUUAGAUCUAUAAAGGCGAUUUUCUUUCUAGCUUCACAACACGUACUAUGUCAUAAAAGACUGCAUCAUUGUUUUCUCUCACAAGAACACGAAUUUAAGACUUUGGACGCCCAUGGCUUAGUCGAGAUUUUGCACCUGACAGGGCCCACCCACAACUUUCUCAAUACGUUGCUUUAGAAUGUUUGAAGGUACGAAGGUGCGUCUGCAAGAUUAGGUUCAACAAUCCUCCUUGAUUGUUUUGAAUUAUUCUUUCAUCUUUACUGCUGUUUAAUUCUGAAGCUGUUGUUGCAUAAAAUGACAAUCGUUGCAAGUUUAUAACGAUGCCAUUAAUUGGUUUAUGCAAUAGCUUUGACCAGCAAGUUCCACCGAAGAGGUGAUAUUCCUAUAGAAUGGAGAGAAUAUUUGCAUGCAAUCUGAUUAUGAUUUUAAGUUGGGGUGUAAUAGUUGUGGAAGAUCCAUGCCAGUGAGAGGAUUAGAUGAUCUCCUAGAUCAGUAAUUCAUUGUGUGGAUUUAUGCAGUGCCAAUUACCUUGGAACUGUCAGAUUGUAACAGAAAUAAAUCAUUUAAAACCUGCAGACUAGUGAUGAAGGAAAGAGUUGCAACAUUGUAGUUCAGCAUCAAAUCUUGACGAUCUGACUGAUGUUUGAAAAGCUAAUCAGAGUUACAGUUAAUGGAUUAUGCUGGUGUAAAUAUUGCAAUGGCAGGUAAUAGUCAAGAAUGAACAAUUUCAAGG